UACGGAGGGGGCCAGCGUUGUUCGGAAUUAUUGGGCGUAAAGGGCGCGUAGGCGGCUUGGUAAGUCCGUUGUGAAAUCCCUCGGCUCAACCGAGGAACUGCGACGGAUACUGCUUGGCUUGAGUCCCGGAGAGGGUAGCGGAAUUCCCAGUGUAGCGGUGAAAUGCGUAGAUAUUGGGAGGAACAUCGGUGGCGAAGGCGGCUACCUGGACGGGUACUGACGCUGAGGCACGAAAGUGUGGGGAUCAAACAGG
This 253-nucleotide ribosomal RNA is filed under the name uncultured bacterium. RNAcentral describes it as "partial 16S ribosomal RNA". It matches the Rfam family "Bacterial small subunit ribosomal RNA", at positions 524 to 776 of the family's 1533-position model. The record is from RNAcentral.